AUUGAACGCUGGCGGCAGGCCUAACACAUGCAAGUCGAGCGGAUGAAGGGAGCUUGCUCCUGGAUUCAGCGGCGGACGGGUGAGUAAUGCCUAGGAAUCUGCCUGGUAGUGGGGGAUAACGUCUGGAAACGGGCGCUAAUACCGCAUACGUCCUGAGGGAGCAAGUGGGGGAUCUUCGGACCUCACGCUAUCAGAUGAGCCUAGGUCGGAGUAGCUAGUUGGUGGGGUAAAGGCCUACCAAGGCGACGAUCCGUAACUGGUCUGAGAGGAUGAUCAGUCACACUGGAACGGGGACACGGUCCAGGGUCCUACGGGAGGCAGCAGUGGGGAAUAUGGGACAGUGGGCGAGAGCCUGAUCCAGCCAUGCCGCGUGUGUGAAGAAGGUCUUCGGAUUGUAAAGCACUUUAAGUUGGGAGGAAGGGCAGUAAGUUAAUACCUUGCUGUUUUGACGUUACCAACAGAAUAAGCACCGGCUAACUUCGUG
This 484-nucleotide ribosomal RNA is filed under the name uncultured bacterium. RNAcentral describes it as "partial 16S ribosomal RNA". It matches the Rfam family "Bacterial small subunit ribosomal RNA", at positions 30 to 507 of the family's 1533-position model. The record is from RNAcentral.